AUCCAUCUGACGAGUCCCAAAUAGAACGAAACACGCGUCCUGGAU
Molecule: non-coding RNA, 45 nt
Organism: Schistosoma rodhaini
Lineage: Eukaryota; Metazoa; Platyhelminthes; Trematoda; Strigeidida; Schistosomatidae
Source: Rfam